Molecule: transfer RNA, 72 nt
Filed under: Bos taurus (domestic cattle)
Lineage: Eukaryota; Metazoa; Chordata; Mammalia; Artiodactyla; Bovidae
Also listed under: 4 other names
Rfam family: tRNA
About the family: Transfer RNA (tRNA) molecules are approximately 80 nucleotides in length. Their secondary structure includes four short double-helical elements and three loops (D, anti-codon, and T loops).
Source: Rfam by way of RNAcentral
UCCCUGAUGGCUCAGAUGGUAAAGAAUCUGCCUGAAAUGCAGGAGACCUGGGUUUAAACUCUGGUUUGGGAA